RNAcentral lists this ribosomal RNA (465 nucleotides) under Vreelandella stevensii. Its description in RNAcentral is "partial 16S ribosomal RNA". It matches the Rfam family "Bacterial small subunit ribosomal RNA", at positions 338 to 795 of the family's 1533-position model. The record is from RNAcentral. Lineage: Bacteria; Pseudomonadati; Pseudomonadota; Gammaproteobacteria; Oceanospirillales; Halomonadaceae.
CCUACGGGCGGCUGCAGUGGGGAAUAUUGGACAAUGGGCGAAAGCCUGAUCCAGCCAUGCCGCGUGUGUGAAGAAGGCCUUCGGGUUGUAAAGCACUUUCAGUGGGGAAGAAAGCCUUGGGGCUAAUACCCUCGAGGAAGGACAUCACCCACAGAAGAAGCACCGGCUAACUCCGUGCCAGCAGCCGCGGUAAUACGGAGGGUGCGAGCGUUAAUCGGAAUUACUGGGCGUAAAGCGCGCGUAGGCGGUCUGAUAAGCCGGUUGUGAAAGCCCCGGGCUCAACCUGGGAACGGCAUCCGGAACUGUCAGGCUAGAGUGCAGGAGAGGAAGGUAGAAUCCCCGGUGUAGCGGUGAAAUGCGUAGAGAUCGGGAGGAAUACCAGUGGCGAAGGCGGCCUUCUGGACUGACACUGACGCUGAGGUGCGAAAGCGUGGGUAGCAAACAGGAUUAGAUACCCUGGUAGUC